UCGAGCGAGUCUGCCUUGAAGAUCGGAGUGCUUGCACUCUGUGAAACAAGAUACAGGCUAGCGGCGGACGGGUGAGUAACACGUGGGUAACCUGCCCAAGAGAUCGGGAUAACACCUGGAAACAGAUGCUAAUACCGGAUAACAACAGAUGAUGCCUAUCAACUGUUUAAAAGAUGGUUCUGCUAUCACUCUUGGAUGGACCUGCGGUGCAUUAGCUAGUUGGUAGGGUAACGGCCUACCAAGGCGAUGAUGCAUAGCCGAGUUGAGAGACUGAUCGGCCACAUUGGGACUGAGACACGGCCCAAACUCCUACGGGAGGCAGCAGUAGGGAAUCUUCCACAAUGGACGCAAGUCUGAUGGAGCAACGCCGCGUGAGUGAAGAAGGGUUUCGGCUCGUAAAGCUCUGUUGUUGGUGAAGAAGGACAGGGGUAGUAACUGACCUUUGUUUGGCGGUAAUCAAUUAGAAAGUCACGGCUAACUACGUGCCAGCAGCCGCGGUAAUACGUAGGUGGCAAGCGUUGUCCGGAUUUAUUGGGCGUAAAGCGAGUGCAGGCGGCUCGAUAAGUCUGAUGUGAAAGCCUUCGGCUCAACCGGAGAAUUGCAUCAGAAACUGUCGAGCUUGAGUACAGAAGAGGAGAGUGGAACUCCAUGUGUAGCGGUGAAAUGCGUAGAUAUAUGGAAGAACACCGGUGGCGAAAGCGGCUCUCUGGUCUGUUACUGACGCUGA
RNAcentral lists this ribosomal RNA (727 nucleotides) under uncultured bacterium. RNAcentral describes it as "bacterial SSU rRNA". It matches the Rfam family "Bacterial small subunit ribosomal RNA", at positions 62 to 749 of the family's 1533-position model. The record is from RNAcentral.